AGUGAACGCUGGCGGUAGGCCUAACACAUGCAAGUCGAACGGCAGCACAGUAAGAGCUUGCUCUUACGGGUGGCGAGUGGCGGACGGGUGAGGAAUACAUCGGAAUCUACUCUUUCGUGGGGGAUAACGUAGGGAAACUUACGCUAAUACCGCAUAUGACCUACGGGUGAAAGCAGGGGAUCUUUUGACCUUGCGCGAUUGAAUGAGCCGAUGUCGGAUUAGCUAGUUGGCGGGGUAAAGGCCCACCAAGGCGACGAUCCGUAGCUGGUCUGAGAGGAUGAUCAGCCACCCUGGAACUGAGACACGGUCCAGACUCCUACGGGAGGCAGCAGUGGGGAAUAUUGGACAAUGGGCGCAAGCCUGAUCCAGCCAUACCGCGUGGGUGAAGAAGGACUUCGGGUUGUAAAGCCCUUUUGUUGGGAAAGAAAAGCAGCAGGUUAAUACCCCGCUGUUCUGACGGUACCCAAAGAAUAAGCACCGGCUAACUUCGUG
Molecule: ribosomal RNA, 492 nt
Filed under: uncultured bacterium
Lineage: Bacteria
Description: partial 16S ribosomal RNA
Rfam family: Bacterial small subunit ribosomal RNA
Source: RNAcentral